GAACCUGCGGAGGGAUCAUUACCGAGUUUACAACUCCCAAACCCCUGUGAACAUACCUAUAAUUUGCCUCGGCAGACUCAACGACGGUGCUCCGAGAAAUCGGGCGCCGCUCGCUGCCAGAGGAACCCCAAACUCUAUGUAUUCUUGUGGAUCUUCUGAGUAAAACAAAACAAAUAAAUCAAAACUUUCAACAACGGAUCUCUUGGUUCUGGCAUCGAUGAAGAACGCAGCGAAAUGCGAUAAGUAAUGUGAAUUGCAGAAUUCAGUGAAUCAUCGAAUCUUUGAACGCACAUUGCGCCCGCCAGUAUUCUGGCGGGCAUGCCUGUUCGAGCGUCAUUUCAACCCUCAAGCCCCCGGGCUUGGUGUUGGGGAUCGGCGAUAGUCGCCGUCCCCCAAAUCUAGUGGCGGUCUCGCUGUAGCCUCCAUUGCGUAGUAGCUAACACCUCGCAACUGGAACGCGGCGCGGCCAAGCCGUUAAACCCCCAACUUCUGAAUGUUGACCUCGGAUCAGGUAGGAAUACCCGCUGAACUUAAGCAUAUCAAUAAGCGGAGGAA
This 555-nucleotide ribosomal RNA is filed under the name Fusarium decemcellulare. RNAcentral describes it as "eukaryotic LSU rRNA". The stretch from base 183 to 336 matches the Rfam family "5.8S ribosomal RNA". Lineage: Eukaryota; Fungi; Ascomycota; Sordariomycetes; Hypocreales; Nectriaceae. The record is from RNAcentral.